This 465-nucleotide ribosomal RNA is filed under the name Vreelandella stevensii. RNAcentral describes it as "partial 16S ribosomal RNA". It matches the Rfam family "Bacterial small subunit ribosomal RNA", at positions 338 to 795 of the family's 1533-position model. Lineage: Bacteria; Pseudomonadati; Pseudomonadota; Gammaproteobacteria; Oceanospirillales; Halomonadaceae. The record is from RNAcentral.
CCUACGGGAGGCUGCAGUGGGGAAUAUUGGACAAUGGGCGAAAGCCUGAUCCAGCCAUGCCGCGUGUGUGAAGAAGGCCUUCGGGUUGUAAAGCACUUUCAGUGGGGAAGAAAGCCUUGGGGCUAAUACCCUCGAGGAAGGACAUCACCCACAGAAGAAGCACCGGCUAACUCCGUGCCAGCAGCAGCGGUAAUACGGAGGGUGCGAGCGUUAAUCGGAAUUACUGGGCGUAAAGCGCGCGUAGGCGGUCUGAUAAGCCGGUUGUGAAAGCCCCGGGCUCAACCUGGGAACGGCAUCCGGAACUGUCAGGCUAGAGUGCAGGAGAGGAAGGUAGAAUUCCCGGUGUAGCGGUGAAAUGCGUAGAGAUCGGGAGGAAUACCAGUGGCGAAGGCGGCCUUCUGGACUGACACUGACGCUGAGGUGCGAAAGCGUGGGUAGCAAACAGGAUUAGAUACCCCUGUAGUC